Molecule: unclassified non-coding RNA, 300 nt
Organism: Meriones unguiculatus (Mongolian gerbil)
Lineage: Eukaryota; Metazoa; Chordata; Mammalia; Rodentia; Muridae
Rfam family: Metazoan signal recognition particle RNA
About the family: The signal recognition particle (SRP) is a universally conserved ribonucleoprotein. It is involved in the co-translational targeting of proteins to membranes.
Source: Ensembl
GCCGGGCGCGGUGGCGCACGCCUGUAGUCCCAGCUACUCGGGAGGCUGAGACAGGAGGAUCGCUUGAGUCCAGGAGUUCUGGGCUGUAGUGCGCUAUGCCGAUCGGGUGUCCGCACUAAGUUCGGCAUCAAUAUGGUGACCUCCCGGGAGCGGGGGACCACCAGGUUGCCUAAGGAGGGGUGAACCGGCCCAGGUCGGAAACGGAGCAGGUCAAAACUCCCGUGCUGAUCAGUAGUGGGAUCGCGCCUGUGAAUAGCCACUGCACUCCAGCCUGGGCAACAUAGCGAGACCCCGUCUCUU